UGCUCCGAGAAACCUCCGCUGAAGAAAAACGUCACAAUCUGUAUAGAUGGUGACGUCAUGUUUUAGCUUCUCCAGCAUUUUCUGAAUUCACUCUAUGUUAUGUGAUCUUCAUACGGCCGUUUCUAUCAAUCACAUAAAGUCGAAUUAUAAAAAUCUACCUUCAUGAUAACAUGACGUAUAAACGCCGCUCUAAAAGGAAAUCGUUCAUCAAUGAAGUUCUAGUUAACAAAUCUCCAGUUUCGUUUGUUAGUAGGAGCGCGAUAUAUUGAUUUUGUUUUAUCCCAUGUUGCUAGUGCACGUUAGUAAUGGCGGCUAGUAUGAGAGUGCCGAAUGUUUGAUGAAAGAAUUUCUGUGUAUCGACAAAAAGAACAAUGGAACUGAUCUACCCGGGGAGAGUGUCCUAUAUCGAGAACGUAGCUUACGAUCGGCGAAUCGCCGUAAGAGAAAGCGCGACUUCGCAUGUCGCCGCCAUCUAUCGGGAAGAAAAAUAUUUAUUUGUCUUUGCUGAUUUUUUCCCCUUAUUAGGAGUUUUCUCACUUCUAUCCUUUACCCUACGGCGCUUUUUGUCUUCGGAUAACUCUGUCUUCACGUGACUCGAUGCCGGGUCCUUUCAUUGCGAAGGCCACUUCUAUACAGACUAUGCCAUGCGUUCUUUUUAGCGAU
RNAcentral lists this long non-coding RNA (663 nucleotides) under Androctonus crassicauda. The record is from RNAcentral. Lineage: Eukaryota; Metazoa; Arthropoda; Arachnida; Scorpiones; Buthidae.